UGUUGACCUAUGUUACUAAGUUCACUAAAAUGCAGCAUCUGUAUGAAGCUGUGCCUCCCACUGUUUCCAGAUCACAACGUGCUCUGUAAUCAUUUCUAACAGCAGAUGGCGACAGAUGACUGUUGAAUGUUUGUCAUGCUUCUCAGACCUGAAUCCAUCACACAAUGAACCACUGGAGGAGAAACUAAAGAUGUCCUGAGAUGACAGCCUCCCUGUAUGGGAAUCACUGAGAGCCCCCCCUCACCACCCAGUCUCCCCUUCUGUCUGCUCAGUACCACAGCAGAGGCGUCAGCAUUAACAUAAUGAUGCUGUGGAUGUGUUCUCCAGUAAAUAUGGACCAUAUGGUGAAGAAGAGAAAGUGGCUCUUGUAUGCUCAGCUGUCUCCUUCUCCCCGACACUACAGGAGGGUGGGAGGGCCGCAGGAUGUUCCCUGAAUAACAGGCCCCUCUCAUGAGCAGACACCCCAGGGAGCAAGACUGACCCAGCAGGCCACACAGCCCCGCAUGAGCACAUACAUGCUCCCACAGGGUGUCUGAGAGCAGAGGUCGAAUCCCUCACAAAACUCUGAGUUACCACAAUAAACUCGCUGACAGUGUUGAACUGUGAUGGAUAUGCACUGAUAGAGAAGCAUGUUGGUGCAGACAGAAGCUAUCAGCUGAUCUUUGUGUGUUUUUCAGCUUUUUGGUCAUGAAGACAGUCCAGAUUUGGACCAGUUGGGCCGAAGAAACCACUUUGAGUUAUGGAUUACAUUUGACAUAAGAAAGAGUCUUUCAACAAAAUCCAUCUUUCAUGAUGAUGUGUCCUUGUUUCCAUCAUUUCAUGAUGGAUAUGUUAUUUUACAUCCAGAAAAACAAAGAGUUGUGGUGCAAAAGUGAGGUAAUAGUUUGAUUUCCAGUGUUUCCAGAGCGAAUGGAAACACUGAGGUUACCAGGCAAUAAAAUAAAUGUUUGGCUCUAGGAAAGCAUUGUUAUACCCUAUCUGUCAAGCCACCGGAUUUCUUGAUAUCAUGUAUGACGCUUUGAUUUUCUUCCACAUGAGAUAAA
This is a long non-coding RNA of Notolabrus celidotus (New Zealand spotty), 1043 nucleotides long. RefSeq lists it as uncharacterized. The transcript has 3 exons. The record is from RefSeq and is a predicted model, not a curated record. NCBI's taxonomy places the organism in Eukaryota, Metazoa, Chordata, Actinopteri, Labriformes, Labridae.